UCACCCACCACCCACUCAGGGUAACAAUGAAGAUUAAGCAAUGAAAAUUAAGCUGAUUAUUAUUGUGGUUUAUUGGCUAAGAUAGAGUACUAUUUAGAAUCUUUACAUGUACGGUUGACUAAUGACUUUUAUUAGAAGAUACUUAUGUAUGUAGGAUAUGUUUUUUGUUAGAGUAUUAUUAGUAAAUUCUAAGUGAUAUUAUGGUUA
This is a non-coding RNA of Arachis ipaensis, 207 nucleotides long. The record is from RefSeq and is a predicted model, not a curated record. NCBI's taxonomy places the organism in Eukaryota, Viridiplantae, Streptophyta, Magnoliopsida, Fabales, Fabaceae.